Lycium ferocissimum is the source of this 631-nucleotide long non-coding RNA. RefSeq lists it as uncharacterized. The transcript is spliced from 3 exons. The record is from RefSeq and is a predicted model, not a curated record. NCBI's taxonomy places the organism in Eukaryota, Viridiplantae, Streptophyta, Magnoliopsida, Solanales, Solanaceae.
UUCAUAUUUAUCCAAAUAUAAAAGUUGGGCAGCCACCUUUUCUUUCAAUCCUUAUCCAAGGAAUAUAUAAUACCUUUUGGGGCUCAUAUCUCUCCACCUCCUCAAAUUUUGUUUUCUCUAGAAAGAGGAGACCCCAAAACUCCUCUCCUCUCAUCAAAUUCUCCCACUAAAUCACUAACAAGACUUGUUUUGGUUGAGCCACAAGCUACUCCACUCUAUUGAGAUGUGGAUUUCCGGUGGUGUUAAGGAUUUCAUUGUCCGAUGACAAUCUGGGAAGGAGAUUUUGGGGUUGUCAAAACUAUAAGGUGAGAGGUCGGUCUUCUUGCAAAUUUUUCGAUUGGUAUGAGCCACCAUUUUCGGAGCAAGCUAAUAUUGUUAUUUGGGGUUUGUUGAAGAAGAAAAAUAGAUAUGAGCAAGAAUUGAAGUGGUCAAGAACAUAGAAGAUUUGCCUAUGCAUUAGUAUGCUAUGUAAUUUGAUGUUUUAUCUUGGCACACAAUCUGGUUCUGGUUGAAGUAGUACUAAUUAGGUUGAAGUUCUUCUAUUUAUGUACUUAUUUAGUUGAAGCUCUAUUAUGUAUGUACUAAUUAGGUUGAAAUGGCUAUGAUGAUUAACAAUGUCAUCUGAUUUUGG